Molecule: ribosomal RNA, 439 nt
Filed under: uncultured bacterium
Lineage: Bacteria
Description: bacterial SSU rRNA
Rfam family: Bacterial small subunit ribosomal RNA
Source: RNAcentral
AACGCGAAGAACCUUACCAGGGUUUGACAUCCUGUGCUCACUCCAGAGAUGGAGCUUCCCCGCAAGGGGCGCAGAGACAGGUGCUGCAUGGCUGUCGUCAGCUCGUGUCGUGAGAUGUUGGGUUAAGUCCCGCAACGAGCGCAACCCUCGCCUUUAGUUGCCAUCAUUCAGUUGGGCACUCUAGAGGGACCGCCGGCGGCAAGCCGGAGGAAGGUGGGGAUGAAGUCAAGUCCUCAUGGCCCUUACAGGCUGGGCUACACACGUGCUACAAUGGCGGUGACAACGGGAGGCGAAGGGGCGACCCUUAGCAAAUCUCGAAAAGCCGUCUCAGUUCGGAUUGCACUCUGCAACUCGAGUGCAUGAAGUUGGAAUCGCUAGUAAUCGCGGAUCAGCACGCCGCGGUGAAUACGUUCCCGGGCCUUGUACACACCGACUGUAC